Molecule: small nucleolar RNA, 115 nt
Organism: Cynocephalus volans (Philippine flying lemur)
Lineage: Eukaryota; Metazoa; Chordata; Mammalia; Dermoptera; Cynocephalidae
Product: small nucleolar RNA SNORA24
Exons: 1
Source: RefSeq, a predicted model, not a curated record
CUCUAUUUAAGAUUAUGUAUAAUCCUUCCUGGCCAUAGAUGAGCUUGUUCUUGUCUAUUGGCAAAGCUGCCACCAUUUAAUUGGUAUCAGAUUCUGACUUUCAGAAGUGCUAUUC